RNAcentral lists this long non-coding RNA (555 nucleotides) under Aedes aegypti (yellow fever mosquito). Its description in RNAcentral is "lncRNA AAEL024867". The record is from RNAcentral. Lineage: Eukaryota; Metazoa; Arthropoda; Insecta; Diptera; Culicidae.
GACGUUGGCGUAGAAGGAAAUACGUUUCGGACGUCACCUUCACGGAUUACGGGGGGGAAUGUAAGUUGCGCCACGUCGACCAGCGAACCCCACGCUUCCCCAUCAACCAUCACUGAUGACAAGUCGAUCGAUGAUUGCCGCUCCCACAGCACACGCGGAGGAUCGGCUUGCAACGAAACAUCAAAAAAGGGCAGUCAUAAGUCACCUAAGUCACCUCAAAAACGAUUUUGAGAGAAAUUGUUUAGACGUAUCACCAGAAUUAGAGUUUAUGCCACGACAUUUAUUCAAUUAGAAUUAGUUAAAAAUUGAACCUUCAUUUAAUACGGCUACUUGUCUUGCUUUACAGAUUUCUAAGAAGAGCGUAAAAAUCAUUGCACUAUAAAUUUGGGAAACUAUGUGGUUAGGUUCUUUAACUGAAUAGCCCAUCCCUACCCAUUAUAAGUUGUGAUCGACUUGAGUUUGCUCGUGAUUACUAAAGUAUUUUAUAAUUUACAUCAAUACGAACCGAAUAAAUUCAUGAAAUCAUCAAUUACGAGCAUUGUCGGCCAACAGGGA